AGUGGAACUGCCGGUGGCAAGCCGGAGGAAGGUGGGGAUGACGUCAAGUCCUCAUGGCCCUUACGCGUGGGGCUACACACGUGCUACAAUGGCGGUGACAGAGGGAUAAUCCCUAAAAGCCGUCUCAGUUCGGAUUGUUCUCUGCAACUCGAGAGCAUGAAGUUGGAAUCGCUAGUAAUCGCGGAUCAGCAUGCCGCGGUGAAUACGUUCCCGGGCCUUGUACACACCGCCCGUCACACCAUGGGAGUUGGUUCUACCCGAAGGCGAUGUGCUAACCGCAAGGAGGCAGUCGACCACGGUAGGGUCAGCGACUGGGGUGAAGUCGUAACAAGGUAGC
This 337-nucleotide ribosomal RNA is filed under the name uncultured Alphaproteobacteria bacterium. RNAcentral's name for it is "bacterial SSU rRNA". It matches the Rfam family "Bacterial small subunit ribosomal RNA", at positions 1142 to 1500 of the family's 1533-position model. Lineage: Bacteria; Pseudomonadati; Pseudomonadota; Alphaproteobacteria. The record is from RNAcentral.